GGCUCGAUGGUGUAGUGGUAGUAGCACGCGUGCCCGAUAUGGAUAAAACGCGGGUUUGAUUACCGCUUAAGGCCG
This is a non-coding RNA of Parelaphostrongylus tenuis, 75 nucleotides long. NCBI's taxonomy places the organism in Eukaryota, Metazoa, Nematoda, Chromadorea, Rhabditida, Metastrongylidae. The record is from the annotation of a GenBank genome assembly.